RNAcentral lists this ribosomal RNA (163 nucleotides) under Anthoxanthum odoratum. RNAcentral's name for it is "5.8S ribosomal RNA". It matches the Rfam family "5.8S ribosomal RNA". Rfam says of the family: 5.8S ribosomal RNA (5.8S rRNA) is a component of the large subunit of the eukaryotic ribosome. The record is from RNAcentral. RNAcentral also lists the same sequence under 1 other name. Lineage: Eukaryota; Viridiplantae; Streptophyta; Magnoliopsida; Poales; Poaceae.
CACACGACUCUCGGCAACGGAUAUCUCGGCUCUCGCAUCGAUGAAGAACGUAGCGAAAUGCGAUACCUGGUGUGAAUUGCAGAAUCCCGCGAACCAUCGAGUCUUUGAACGCAAGUUGCGCCCGAGGUCUUUUGGCUGAGGGCACGCCUGCCUGGGCGUCACG